RNAcentral lists this ribosomal RNA (1528 nucleotides) under human oral metagenome. RNAcentral's name for it is "bacterial LSU rRNA". It matches the Rfam family "Bacterial large subunit ribosomal RNA", at positions 942 to 2486 of the family's 2925-position model. The record is from RNAcentral.
AAAACUAUCAAACUCCGAAUGCCGUAUAAUUAUACUUGGGAGUCAGACUAUGUGAGAUAAGUUUCAUAGUCGAAAGGGAAACAGCCCAGACCUACAGCUAAGGUCCCAAAAUAUAAGUUAAGUGGAAAAGGAUGUGAAGUUGCACAAACAGCUAGGAUGUUGGCUUAGAAGCAGCCAUACAUUUAAAGAGUGCGUAAUAGCUCACUAGUCGAGUGAUCCUGCGCCGAAGAUAAACGGGGCUCAAACUUACCACCGAAGCUUUGGAAUUAGUAUAACUAAUUGGUAGAGGAGCAUUCUAUACAGGUAGAAGGAGGCGCGUAAGUAAAUCUGGACGGUAUAGAAGAGAGAAUGUUGGCAUGAGUAGCGUAAGGCGGGUGAGAAUCCCGUCCGCCGAAAAUCUAAGGUUUCCUGAGGAAGGUUCGUCCUCUCAGGGUAAGUCGGGACCUAAGCCGAGAGCGAACGCUGUAGGCGAUGGAUAACAGGUUGAUAUUCCUGUACCACCAAGGAUUGUUUGAAUGAAGUGGGGACACAGAAGGAUAGAUUGAGCACGCCGUUGGUUGAGCGUGUCCAAGCAGUAAGGCUUGAAAGUAGGCAAAUCCGCUUUCUAAAAGGCUGAGCUGUGAUGGGGUGGUCGAAUGACCGGUAGCAAUCGAUUUCACGCUGUCAAGAAAAGCCGCUAAUGAGAUCCAAGGUGCCCGUACCGCAAACCGACACAGGUAGAUGAGGAGAGAAUCCUAAGGUGAGCGAGCGAACUAUUGUUAAGGAACUCGGCAAAAUAACCCCGUAACUUCGGGAGAAGGGGUGCCUGCUUCGGCAGGCCGCAGUGAAAAGGCCCAGGCAACUGUUUACCAAAAACACAGGUCUCUGCAAAAGCGAAAGCUGAAGUAUAGGGGCUGACGCCUGCCCAGUGCUGGAAGGUUAAGGUGAAGUGUAAGGGUAACCGAAGCACAGAACUUAAGCCCCAGUAAACGGCGGCCGUAACUAUAACGGUCCUAAGGUAGCGAAAUUCCUUGUCGGGUAAGUUCCGACCCGCACGAAAGGCGUAAUGAUCUGGGCACUGUCUCAACAAUAGACUCGGUGAAAUUGUAGUACCGGUAAAGAUGCCGGUUACCCGCAGCAGGACGGAAAGACCCCGUGGAGCUUUACUGUAGCUUGAUAUUGAUUUUCGGCAUUGCAUGUACAGGAUAGGUGGGAGACGAAGAAUUCAGCACGCCAGUGUUGAAGGAGUCACCGUUGGGAUACCACCCUUGUAAUGUUGGAAAUCUAACCUAGUACCGUGAUCCGGUACAGGGACAGUGUCAGGUGGGCAGUUUGACUGGGGCGGUCGCCUCCUAAAGAGUAACGGAGGCGCCCAAAGGUUCCCUCAGAGCGGACGGAAAUCGCUCGAAGAGUGUAAAGGCAGAAGGGAGCUUGACUGCGAGACCAACAAGUCGAGCAGGGACGAAAGUCGGGCUUAGUGAUCCGGUGGUUCCGAGUGGAAGGGCCAUCGCUCAACGGAUAAAAGCUACCCCGGGGAUAACAGGCUUAU